CCUACGGGAGGCAGCAGUGGGGAAUAUUGCACAAUGGGGGAAACCCUGAUGCAGCGACGCCGCGUGAGCGAGGAAGUAUUUCGGUAUGUAAAGCUCUAUCAGCAGGGACGAAAAAAAGACGGUACUUGACUAAGAAGCCCCGGCUACCUACGUGCAAGCGGCCGCGGUAAUACGUAGGGGGCAAGCGUAAUCCGGAUUAACUGGGGGUAAAGGGGGCGUAGACGGCAAGGCAAGCCAGAAGUGAAAGGGCAGGGCUCAACCCUGUACAUGCUUUUGGAACUGUGGUGCGAGAGUGCAGGAGAGGUAAGUGGAAUGCCUAGUGUAGCGGUGAAAUGCGUAGAUAUUAGGAGGAACACCAGUGGCGAAGGCGGCUUACUGGACUGUAACUGACGUUGAGGCUCGAAAGCGUGGGGAGCAAACAGGAUUAGAUACCCGUGUAGUC
Molecule: ribosomal RNA, 442 nt
Filed under: uncultured bacterium
Lineage: Bacteria
Description: partial 16S ribosomal RNA
Rfam family: Bacterial small subunit ribosomal RNA
Source: RNAcentral